AGAGGUGGCAAGCGUUGUUCGGAAUUACUGGGCUUAAAGGGCGCGUAGGCGGCAGAGCAAGUCUGAGGUGGAAUCUCAGGGCUUAACCCUGAAAUUGCCUUGGAAACUGCCUUGCUUGAGUCAGUGAGGGGAGGGCGGAAUUCCUGGUGUAGCAGUGAUAUGCGUAGAUAUCAGGAGGAAGGCCUGUGGUGAAGACGGCCCUCUGGCGCUUGACUGACGCUGAGGCGCGAAAGCGUGGGGAGCAAACAGGAUUAGAUACCCUGGUAGUCCCACGCCCUAAACGGUGGGUAUUAGGUGUAGGGCUCGCGAGGGUUCUGUGCCGUAGGGAAACCAUUAAAUACCCCCGCCUGGGGAGUACGGCCGCAAGGUUG
Molecule: ribosomal RNA, 371 nt
Filed under: uncultured organism
Description: partial 16S ribosomal RNA
Rfam family: Bacterial small subunit ribosomal RNA
Source: RNAcentral